Molecule: ribosomal RNA, 357 nt
Filed under: uncultured eukaryote
Lineage: Eukaryota
Description: SSU rRNA
Rfam family: Eukaryotic small subunit ribosomal RNA
Source: RNAcentral
CAAGAGCGUAUAUUAAAGUUGUUGCAGUUAAAAAGCUCGUAGUUGGAUUUCUGGUACAAUGCGCCUGGCCCGCGGCAGUAAUGCCUGUGAGUGCCGGUGCGCGUUUGCCAUCCUUCUAGAAAACGUUUCUACCCUUUACUGGGCCGGACUCGCGAUCUAGAUCUUUUACUUUAGAAAAAAUUAGAGUGUUCAAAGCAGGCUUUUGCUGUGAAUACAUUAGCAUGGAAUAAUAAUCUAGACUCGGUUUAUUUUGUUGGUUUCUAACACUGAAGUAAUGAUUGAUAGGGAUAGUUGGGGGUGGCUAGUAUUAGGUCCGGCCAGAGGUGAAAAUUCUUGGAUUCGGUCAAGACUAACUUA